GACAUAGGUCGCAAACGUUAUCCGGAAUUAUUGGGCGUAAAGGGCUCGUAGGCGGUCUGUUGCGUCGGGAGUGAAAACUUACAGCUUAACUGUGAGCGUGCUUUCGAUACGGGCAGACUUGAGGCAUUCAGGGGAGAACGGAAUUCCUGGUGUAGCGGUGAAAUGCGCAGAUAUCAGGAGGAACACCCGUGGCGAAGGCGGCUCUCUGGAACGCAACUGACGCUGAGACGCGAAAGCGUGGGGAGCAAACAGG
Molecule: ribosomal RNA, 253 nt
Filed under: uncultured bacterium
Lineage: Bacteria
Description: partial 16S ribosomal RNA
Rfam family: Bacterial small subunit ribosomal RNA
Source: RNAcentral